GACGAACGCUGGCGGCGUGCUUAACACAUGCAAGUCGAACGGAAAGGCCCUGCUUUUGUGGGGUGCUCGAGUGGCGAACGGGUGAGUAACACGUGAGUAACCUGCCCUUGACUUUGGGAUAACUUCAGGAAACUGGGGCUAAUACCGGAUAGGAGAUCCUGCUGCAGGGAGGGGGUUGGAAAGUCUCGGCGGUCGGGGAUGGACGCGCGGCUUAUCAGCUUGUUGGUGGGGUAGUGGCUUACCAAGGCUUUGACGGGUAGCCGGCCUGAGAGGGUGACCGGCCACAUUGGGACUGAGAUACGGCCCAGACUCCUACGGGAGGCAGCAGUGGGGAAUAUUGCACAAUGGGCGGAAGCCUGAUGCAGCAACGCCGCGUGCGGGAUGACGGCCUUCGGGUUGUAAACCGCUUUCGCCUGUGACGAAGCGUGAGUGACGGUAAUGGGUAAAGAAGCACCGGCUAACUACGUG
RNAcentral lists this ribosomal RNA (468 nucleotides) under uncultured bacterium. RNAcentral describes it as "partial 16S ribosomal RNA". It matches the Rfam family "Bacterial small subunit ribosomal RNA", at positions 28 to 507 of the family's 1533-position model. The record is from RNAcentral.